GCGGAGAGCAGCGGGCGGCCGGGCAAACGGCGGGGAGGAGGAGGGCAUCCCUGCCGCCCCCCGCGCAGGGCGCGCCUGGAGCCGCCGCUGCCUGUCCCGCCGCCCGGGGCGGCCCGCGCCCCUCCGCGGUGCGGUGCGGUGCGUGUAUGCUGGGCGCGGGGCGGCUGCCGCUGCUGCUGAAGGUGAAGCUCUCGCUCUCCAAUUACUUUUCCCAAGAGGGAGAAGGAGGGAGCAGGAGGGGGAAGUCGUGCGGUGUGUGAGGCGCAAACCAAUCAGCGAUGCUCUAACGGAGGGAUUGCUGCAGGACGCGCCGGCUUUUCCUCCCUUCCUCUGCCGGCGGGGCUGAAUCGGGACCGCGCGCAGCUGGCGGAGGGGCGGGAGCCGCACCGGGCUGCAGGACUUCCUCACUCUCCGCUUUUCCGAUACCUAAUCCAUACUUCGUCCUCUUAAUAAUAUUAUUAUUAUUUUUAUUAUUUGAAUACUCUGUCAUCGUGCACGAGAAACACUUCAAGUCUUCCCUCCCUCCCCACGUACUUCACCCUUCCUCUGGCAUCCCUUAGCCGGAUUCCUGCUGUAUCCCCCGAGAGGCGGGGCAGACCCGGACCCCGCGGACGGCUGCCUGCCCCGGCGCGGCAGAGCCGAGCGGAGCGGAGCGGCGCUCCAUGCCCCGGGCGCUGGCGGGGCGCGGGGCGUGUGCCGGCGAUGCCCGGGCGGUAGGGCUGGAGCUCCCCCCCGACGGGAGGCGGCCGAUCGCUAGGUGUUUCCAGCAGGGAGCGGGGCUGCAGGAUGAAUAAGAGAUACUUACAGAAGGCAACAAAAGGAAAACUGCUAAUAAUAAUAUUUGUUGUAACGCUGUGGGGGAAAUUAGCAUCUGGAGCAAAUCAUCAUAAAGCUCACCAUGUUAAAACUGGGACGUGUGAAGUGGUGGCACUCCACAGAUGUUGCAAUAAGAACAAGAUAGAAGAAAGAUCACAGACAGUGAAGUGCUCCUGCUUCCCUGGGCAGGUAGCAGGUACCACCCGGGCAGCUCCUUCUUGUGUUGAUGCUUCAAUAGUGGAGCAGAAAUGGUGGUGCCACAUGCAACCAUGUCUUGAAGGGGAGGAAUGUAAAGUUCUUCCAGAUCGUAAGGGAUGGAGCUGUUCCUCUGGGAAUAAAGUGAAAACAACUAGGGCAAACGUGUAAAACUCCUCAAGUCCGAAUGGAGAAGUAGAGAAAGGAGGUUUCUGCUGUGCCUGAUGACAAUUUUUGUUUUUUCCACACACACAAAAUAUUCUGGCUCCAUGUUGGAGCACUAGUUGUGAUGAAUCCUAGUCUUGGUCGGAUUCUAAGGAAGGGCCAGAACGUUCGUUGAGGAAUAAAGAGUCAAACCACUCCAGAAAAUGUGUUCCAGCCCUGGUUUAUUACUCACAGAGCAGCAGGUAACCCGAUAGCUAAAGACAAAUCAAGUCAGUCUCAAGGCUGAUAACAUUAAAUACAACACAUAGGAAUUUCAUUCCUCCAGGCAGUACCUGAAGUGAAAUUUUAUACUGCUGGGGUGUAUCCUUCAGAAUCAAUUGUUUCAAUGAGAACCUGGCUUGUAAUCAGCAACAGCCUUGAGAUCAAAACUACUGGAAAGUUAUUUUGAACUUCUGUGUCACAAAGAUUUCAACUGAUUGAACUGUGUACACUUGUAAAAUUGCACUUGCUGAGGAAUUUGCAGCUGUAAUCACAAGAGCUGAUAUUCAAAAGGUGCAGAAAAGCAGCAAUCUUUCAGAUUCUCAAUUCCAGACCAGUGGCUUUUCAUCUUGAUGAAGUCAACCUCCAAAACGUAUUGGUUCCUUCUCUCUAAAAUGAUCCCUGGUCCACCAUUCAGAUUGCUGGUGGGACUGCACGCUGCUUUAAUUAGAUUUCUGUUGCAGAAAUUGUCCUCUGGCAUGGCGCAGUUUUAGACAUUUUUAUUUGUAUUCUAAUCUUGGAGCUCUCAAAGGUACAUAUUUCAACAUCUUGAAGUUGCUUUUGUUAUAGGAAUGAAAAUAUAUAUCCAUUGUUAAUAAUUAUUGUUGACAAGUAAUAGUUAUCUGAAUACAUCAGUCAUAUUAGAAUGCAUAGUCAGGUUGACAUGUUUCCCUAAGGCUAGCCAACUACUGCAGCUCUUUGGCAGUUACAAAAGUAGUGGUCAAAACUCAAUUACCACUUCCAUUAUAAGACAUUUUAUACCUUUAAGAUACACAUUUGCAUUUAGUUUGAAAGAGAUGGGUGUUCCUGAUAUGUAUUUUACUUUCCCAACCUUUAAUUCAUUGAAAUUCAUGGUAAGCAGUCAAUGACAGUAUUUCAUCCCUUUUUAUAAAGGUAGGCAGGGAUGUAAAUGAGUUUUGCAAUUAUGAAAUUGGAUGGUAAUCAUUUGGAAUUUUUGUCUUUUUAUUAAAAAAUAAAAUCUCUUGCUUGAACCUAAGUACUGUUGGAUGCUUAUGUAGAUGUCUGCUCAGUCUGUUUGCUAUAAAGGAAAAAAGUCCUAGUGCCCUCCCUGAUUUACAGUUUGUGGGUAUUUUGCUUGCUUACAGUCAUCCAAUUCAGAUAUGGUCCUUGCCAAGAUCAUAUUUAUUUUUUAAAUUUUUUGUUUCAGUAGCAAUUUUUGAACUUUGUGAUGUGCUGUUACAUGAAAAAAAUCCUCAAUAUUUAAAGGCCUUAAGCAUCUAUGAGCUUUUUUCUAAGUUAUUACAGAAUGUAUAAUUUUAUACUCCAUUUAAUGUAUAUUGUACCAUCUGUAAUAUUGAUACAACUGGCAAUUCCUUGUAGUGACACUGCAUAAGCAUGCUGACUGGAGAGGGUGACGGAGUUGUGUAUGCUUUGGUGCAUUGAAAUGAAAACCACACACACUUAAUGGUAGUCAAAAAUAUAUAGGGGCAAGCUUAUUUAAAAGUCCUGUGUGGCUAACAGAGUCCUAGAAAAAGAAGGAAAUUAUUUUAUCAUCACAAGCCAUUGACAGGCUUGGUAGUUAUAUAUUAAGUUCCAUGAUGGAUGAACACCUUGGAGUGCUCUGCCUGUCACAGUAGCCCCUGCUGUUCCAAACCCAUUUCAUUACCUCUGCUGUAUUAUUGCACAGGAGAGCUUAAAUAAAAUAAAUGACUGUUGGGAAUAAAAUUGAGAAGUAUAUUCUAUCAUUCUGCUGAGAAAUAAUAAAAAAUGUUGGCAGGGAAAGAUAUUCUUUUCUGAUUAAAAUUUAAUUAGGAUAAACUGUAUUAGCAGCAACUAGGUAUCUCAGUAUUUUAGGAUAGGUUAAUAUUGUAUGGAUUUAUGCUAACAGGUGCAGGACAGAAGGUUAGCAUCUUAAAGAGGUUGUCUGGGACAGUGCAAAGUGUAAAUGUGCUGUUUUGUAAAAUCUGAACAUGGCCCCUCUUUGGUCAAAAAUCUACAUCAUGCUUCUCAAUAUUUGUUUUCUUUGUUUCUUUGUUCUUAAACCAACACUGAAAAUACUGUAUUAUAUACAAGUGUAACACAUGCAUAUCAAUAAGUGAAAAUAAAUGGAUUUUCAAAUAUACUGAAUAGA
RNA transcript from Falco peregrinus (peregrine falcon), 3526 nucleotides. It is a transcript of the gene named TAFA chemokine like family member 2, with no coding region annotated. The transcript is spliced from 6 exons. The record is from RefSeq and is a predicted model, not a curated record. NCBI's taxonomy places the organism in Eukaryota, Metazoa, Chordata, Aves, Falconiformes, Falconidae.